UCUCCCUGAAGGGCUCCGGGAGACUACCGGGUGGAUAGGCCGCAGGUGGAAGCUCCGCGAGGGGUGAAGCCGAGCGGUACUAAUAGCCCGUUCGGCUUGUCCAC
Molecule: ribosomal RNA, 104 nt
Filed under: Aquificaceae bacterium
Lineage: Bacteria; Pseudomonadati; Aquificota; Aquificia; Aquificales; Aquificaceae
Description: partial 23S ribosomal RNA
Rfam family: Bacterial large subunit ribosomal RNA
Source: RNAcentral